GACGAACGCUGGCGGCGUGCUUAACACAUGCAAGUCGAACGGAAAGGCCCUGCUUUUGUGGGGUGCUCGAGUGGCGAACGGGUGAGUAACACGUGAGUAACCUGCCCUUGACUUUGGGAUAACUUCAGGAAACUGGGGCUCAUACCGGAUAGGAGCUCCUGCUGCAUGGUGGGGGUUGGAAAGUUUCGGCGGUUGGGGAUGGACUCGCGGCUUAUCAGCUUGUUGGUGGGGUAGUGGCUUACCAAGGCUUUGACGGGUAGCCGGCCUGAGAGGGUGACCGGCCACAUGGGGACUGAGAGACGGCCCAGACGCCUACGGGAGGCAGCAGUGGGGAAUAUUGCACAAUGGGCGGAAGCCUGAUGCAGCAACGCCGCGUGCGGGAUGACGGCCUUCGGGUGGUAAACCGCUUUCGCCUGUGACGAAGCGUGAGUGACGGUAAUGGGUAAAGAAGCACCGGCUAACUACGUG
This 468-nucleotide ribosomal RNA is filed under the name uncultured bacterium. RNAcentral's name for it is "partial 16S ribosomal RNA". It matches the Rfam family "Bacterial small subunit ribosomal RNA", at positions 28 to 507 of the family's 1533-position model. The record is from RNAcentral.